RNAcentral lists this long non-coding RNA (574 nucleotides) under Glycine max (soybean). RNAcentral's name for it is "long non-coding RNA (GMAX_LNC001518)". The record is from RNAcentral. Lineage: Eukaryota; Viridiplantae; Streptophyta; Magnoliopsida; Fabales; Fabaceae.
UCUUAUUUAAUUUAUUCAACAUUGAUAAUAUUACAUUGAUUUUGGAUCAAAUCCUACAAUAAAGAUGACAAAACCACCUCCCUAGUGCAUAGUAUACAAAGAUAACACUUAGAAAAAUCCACAAAGGGAAAGGAGAAUAUAGAGACAACAAAGACCAUUCCAAAAGCAAUCGACGGCCCAAAAGAGCUUUCCAAAUGGGAGAAGGCCAAAAUAGAAAAGCCAACACCACCUUCUUGAAAAAAAUACAAUGCUCACAGCAACAUCUAGAUCAUUCGAGCGGGCUAGAAGAAGAAAGUAUACUAAUGCCUUGGGACUCUUCCUCAACCUAGGCGGAGCGACUGCAAAAGAAGGCCAAAAAGGAACGGUUUGACCUUGUAGGAGAGCUCUUGGGAUGAUUUUUAGACACUAAAACUAGGCAAAAAAACUUGUUGGUGUCUAAACCUUUAAUCACUCAAGCCAUGUUGAGAAAGAUUAAGGGUGCUCCAAGCAACCUCCAAACUUACAUUAGCCACUCUAGCAUUUUGGAGACAAUGAGCAUGUUCAUCAAAAUGACUAGACUGACUAAUAAAAGGAA